AGUGAACGCUGGCGGUAGGCCUAACACAUGCAAGCCGAACGGCAGCACAGUAAGAGCUUGCUCUUACGGGUGGCGAGUGGCGGACGGGUGAGGAAUACAUCGGAAUCUACUUUUUCGUGGGGGAUAACGUAGGGAAACUUACGCUAAUACCGCAUACGACCUACGGGUGAAAGCAGGGGAUCUUCGGACCUUGCGCGAUUGAAUGAGCCGAUGUCGGAUUAGCUAGUUGGCGGGGUAAAGGCCCACCAAGGCGACGAUCCGUAGCUGGUCUGAGAGGAUGAUCAGCCACACUGGAACUGAGACACGGUCCAGACUCCUACGGGAGGCAGCAGUGGGGAAUAUUGGACAAUGGGCGCAAGCCUGAUCCAGCCAUACCGCGUGGGUGAAGAAGGCCUUCGGGUUGUAGAGCCCUUUUGUUGGGAAAGAAAAGCAGCAGGUUAAUACCCCGCUGUUCUGACGGUACCCAAAGAAUAAGCACCGGCUAACUUCGUG
Molecule: ribosomal RNA, 492 nt
Filed under: uncultured bacterium
Lineage: Bacteria
Description: partial 16S ribosomal RNA
Rfam family: Bacterial small subunit ribosomal RNA
Source: RNAcentral